Molecule: long non-coding RNA, 1211 nt
Organism: Drosophila yakuba
Lineage: Eukaryota; Metazoa; Arthropoda; Insecta; Diptera; Drosophilidae
Exons: 2
Source: RefSeq, a predicted model, not a curated record
GCUGCCUCAUCUCCGAUCUGGCAUGAAAACCUUUCACAAUUUCAUUAGCCACGCAAAGUGAAUUGGCCAUCAUGUCUAGCCGACGAAUGAAGCGUGCACCGUUGGCUAUAUUGCACCGCCGGCAUCACCGCACAAUAGUUGGGCUCUUUAAAUCCGCGCUGCAAUGCAAUGAAAGCGAUACUCAAGGUAAACCGCAAAAUGGUCCAAAAACGAUCAGGAAACUAGACGCAGGAAUCGCGAACCGGCUUUCCACUACAAAAGUUUUUCAGUUUCUAGCCAGGGAAACCAAUCCAACUUAAAGAAAAUCAUUUGUGGGACUCGGUUCUAGCUAGAUGUUAAAUUUAGUCUUUAAAAACAGAAUGUCAUACAAUGAUCCAACUAAAUUGGAAGUACACCGAAGCAUUUUAUAACGGCAAGCUAUAUAAAAUGAAUUCUUUCAGAUAAAAAUUGGAAUGAAAAAAAAACUUUCUGACCACGAAUAUUUUUUUUCUGUGUACGCGAACAGAGCGCUCUUGACGAUAACUUUUAACAUUUUGAAUUGUGUUGUGUGCAAGUCUGGCUGCUGGCGUUCACUUCUCAAACAAGUUUUGGGGACUAGCGAACAACCAAACAACUAGCAAGCAACAACCAGCAAGCAACAACCAGCAACCUGGGCUGGCAACACCUUUCUGCAAAGGUAGACAACUUCAACUUACUUUAAUUGCAACAGCCCCAAAAGCAGACAGCUCAACAAUAGCCAAAAGCCUUAAGUCUGUGACUCAAGAAAAGUUAUAAUUAUAGCCACAACGCCGUGCAAUGGUGGUGCACAGGGGGGUGCAGAGUUGCCCCCUUAGACAAGACGGUCUCUUGAUGGUUGGCCCACGUUAUGGAUGAGGUGACAAUGCGCGCAACAUAUUAUUUAUUUGUAAAUGCAUUGAGCGCAAUGAGAAAUACGUAACAUGCUUAGUUCUAGCUACCAAGAAAAGAGAAACUUCCGCAACUUCCUGUUGGUGAUUAAAAAAAACAUAACCUUUUAAUGAGUCUAGUAGGAUAUCGAAUUAACUGUUAUUUUGUGUUAUGUUUUAUGUUACUUAAAUGUUAUGUUGUUGUAGUAAAUGUUAUUAUAUAUUUCUAUAUUUUAUUAUAAGUUCAGAUAAAACGAUAUAUGUGUAUAUAUUAUUAAUGCAAUAAAAACUUCAUUAUCUUUUAUUAUUGCAAAGUACCACAAAUAA